This 204-nucleotide long non-coding RNA is filed under the name Elaeis guineensis (African oil palm). Its description in RNAcentral is "long non-coding RNA (EGUI_LNC020777)". Lineage: Eukaryota; Viridiplantae; Streptophyta; Magnoliopsida; Arecales; Arecaceae. The record is from RNAcentral.
GUAAUGUAGCAUGAGGGUGGUGACUGGUGAGGGGCAAUGUUGACACCUUCUCGAAGGUUGGGGUUGGUGAUGGAUUAUAGAUACUCAGGAUGAAUUAGUUGUGAUGCCUUUUUUCUUUUAUUUUUUGGUGAGAACUAUUGGUGAAGCAUCACUGUUAAGGAGGCAAUGGUACAGAAAUUGAUAUAGAAUAUUCGAGGAGGAAGG